AGGAAAGUAGCUCAGCAGGUGAGAGCGCCGGCCUUAUAAGCCGUAUGUCAAGGGUUCGAAUCCCUUCUUUCCUACCA
RNAcentral lists this transfer RNA (77 nucleotides) under Lachnospiraceae bacterium. RNAcentral's name for it is "tRNA-Ile". It matches the Rfam family "tRNA". Rfam says of the family: Transfer RNA (tRNA) molecules are approximately 80 nucleotides in length. Their secondary structure includes four short double-helical elements and three loops (D, anti-codon, and T loops). Lineage: Bacteria; Bacillati; Bacillota; Clostridia; Lachnospirales; Lachnospiraceae. The record is from RNAcentral.